Ctenocephalides felis (cat flea) is the source of this 411-nucleotide long non-coding RNA. RefSeq lists it as uncharacterized. Lineage: Eukaryota; Metazoa; Arthropoda; Insecta; Siphonaptera; Pulicidae. The record is from RefSeq and is a predicted model, not a curated record. The transcript has 3 exons.
GAGAACCUGAUGACAGUUUGACAAAUAUUGCUUCUGAAACAAAUGCGGACUCGAUUGUUGAUUCUUUAAAUGUUAAUGCUAUCCAAAUUUCUAAUCCACCUACAACACCUUCGAGUAGUUAUCAAUCUUCCGGGUUUCUUUCUCAUAGAACCCAGCGGAGCUUUGGCAGUAUUCAAGCGACUGAAAUAGAGGAUAUCUGCAUUUACUCUGCUUUAAGGGAAGAUGAUAGAAUAUUGACUAAAAUUGUCAACGAUUGGAUAGCGAUGUACAAAGCCGAUUACUACAAAGCAUUGUCAGUUUUAAUCAGUUUUAUUUUGAAUGCUAGUGGAUACAAUGGCAUUCAAGUGACUUCAGGAAUGCUAAAAACAUUAGAUCAUUCAACUAUAGCAACAAAAAUCGAAGCUGAUUUUA